AGUUUAGUCAUGGCUCAGAUUGAACGCUGGCGGGAUGCUUUACACAUGCAAGUCGGGCAGCAGCGGACUUCGGUCUGGUGGCGAGUGGCGAACAGGUGAGUAAUGUAUCGGAACGUGCCUAGUAGCAAGGGGAUAACUACGCGGCGUGUGCGUACCGCAUACGCCCUUCGGGAAAGCGGGGACCUUCGGGCCUCGCACUAUUAAGAAGCAG
RNAcentral lists this unclassified non-coding RNA (211 nucleotides) under uncultured Bordetella sp. RNAcentral describes it as "partial 16S-23S ribosomal RNA intergenic spacer". It matches the Rfam family "Bacterial small subunit ribosomal RNA", at positions 10 to 232 of the family's 1533-position model. Lineage: Bacteria; Pseudomonadati; Pseudomonadota; Betaproteobacteria; Burkholderiales; Alcaligenaceae. The record is from RNAcentral.